UUUUUUUUUUUUUUUUUUUUUUUUUUGAGACCGUCUCACUCUUGUCCUCCAGGCUGGAGUGCAAUGGCACAAUCUCAGCUCACUGCAACCUCCACCUCCUGGGUUCGAGUGAUUCUCCUGCCUCAGCCUCCUGAGUAGCUGGGAUUACAGGCUCCCGACACUGUGCCCGGCUAAUUUUUGUAUUUUUAGUAGACACGGGGUUUUACCAUGUUGACCAGGCUGGUCUUGAACCCCUGACCUCGUGAUUUGCCCGCCUUGGCCUCCCAAAGUGCUGGAAUUACAGGCAUGAGCUACCGUGCCCUGCCAAAGAAUUUUUUUAAAAAAAUGACAGUCAGGACACUCGAUUUCUGCUAGUCCCAGUCUGCUAGAAAGAAUGUACUUUUACAAAAACCAGUUCAUCUCAAUUUUGCUCACUAUGUUAGCAGAGUAUGUCUCACUUGUCUACUUUCUUGUUUGUUUCUUGAGCUACCUGUUACCUCUCUCAGUGAGGGAAGUUAAAGCUGCAGCAGGAGCUUGGAGAGCUUUUUCAACUGGUUGACAGCUCUUAUUGUCACACCUUAGUUCAUACGCUAUCUAUAGGCGACUAUUGUUUCAGUGGGUUGUGGUUUAUAAAGUGCUAACAAGGCUUGAGACAUAAAGAUACUAUUAUUUCAGGUGACACUACUUGUUAUGAAUCUGCAGCUUCUCACAUCCCUGACUCUUGUGAAAAUACUCCAUAUACAAUUUUCCGGUCUGUUUCAGCUAUAUCAUUUGACUUCCCUGAAGUAUGGGACUUCAUGAAAGCGUGAUUCCCUUUCAUUCCAACUCCUGAUGUGAUUUCCAAGUGAAUUUACAUUAUUUUACUGUAUCAUUUUACAUUAUUUUAAUAUCUUAGUGAGUUUUUAAAUCAGCAGUCAUGCCUCAGCUGAAUCUCAAGGGACAUUAUAUGGCCACCAGGAAAAGCUAGUGCUAAUUAAGUUUUUCUCUGGAUUUCUCAUUACUGACAAACAGCUCUUGACUUCACAAAAACACCAGUGGCUUCACAGAAGUAGCAUCCAGUAGUUGGUCAAUGUUAUUUCUGUGGUUGCUAUAACCACAUAAGGCAGCUCUUUGACCCCUGAGGAUCUUAUCCCUGGCCAUUCCUGUUUGAGUCAGGGAUAUACACUUUUCCCAAAUUUAUUGACUUUAUUAAGUGGACAACCACCUAAAUCAAUAUCUCUCUCUCCUUCUCCCUCUUUCCCCUCUCCCCUUCUCCCUUUCUUUAUCCUCUCUCUUUUUUUCAAAUUUGAGAGUCCAUGAUUGGGUAUUGAUGAGCAGGAUAGCUUGGGGGCAAGAAACCUAUUUAUUAGCAAUGACCUAAUGUAUGAGCAUAGAAAGAAAAGACUGAGGAAAGCCAAAGAUGGAGAACCUGACAGUUCCGAGAAAAUAUGACUGACCUCAACCUGUGAGGCUUUCAUGUUCUCAAAUGACACAGAAAUGACUAAUUUUCUUCUGUUGAAUUUACUUGAGUUAGCCUCAGUGGAUUUCUAUUUCUUGCAAUGGAAAGUUAAUCAGUACAAUUGAAACUUUAGUUUAUUAAAAGUUAUUUUUAAAUGCAUUUAUCAAAUAUGGAUUUUUCCUUUCAAUAAAAGUAAUAGUAGUUUUGCAUUUGGCAAGGAAUUUAACUUUUUCACAAUUCUUUUACAUCUGUUAUAGCCACAGAAGAUAGAACAACUGCUUUCCUCUAUUUGGUAGAUGAAGCAAGAGUCUGAAAAGAUCAGAUAAUUUGCCUAAAAUCUCACAUAAAACUAGAGGUAGUACUGGAACUAAGUCCCUGACCCUCAAGCAUUGAUUGUCUUCAGUGAUGGCCUGAACUUGCUUGUAACAGUUUACCAAUUCUGCACCUGAUAUCAACUUAAUUUCGUGUUCAGUUUUCAGUGACAUUGUGCUGACAGCUUGAAAUUAGCCAUGGUGGGAGUAUUUAUGUCACAGAAAUCAGCGAACAAUUCAACUAAAAGCUUUAAAAAAAAAAAAAAAA
This 1996-nucleotide long non-coding RNA is filed under the name Homo sapiens (human). Its description in RNAcentral is "novel transcript, sense intronic to PRKG1". The record is from RNAcentral. Lineage: Eukaryota; Metazoa; Chordata; Mammalia; Primates; Hominidae.